AAACAAACGUAAAGGCUCCGGGAGGGGGAAAUGGUAAGGGGGUUAGUAACUGACAGCUCGGCCUCCAAGCAAGAAGCUUCAAGUAGGUCAGACGGUGUCGACGGCUGGAAAUCCAGGGUCCACCCCAGUGGGCUUAGGGGAGGAGAGCAGCAGGAGGUGUAACUUCUUUUCUCACUACUUUGUUUCCCACAACACUUGGAAAAGGAUGUGUACUCCAUUUAGGCAGAAAUAACUCCCAAGAAUCAAUCAUUUUCACAAGCAGUAAUUUCGUACUGCAACCACAAGCCUCCAACAGGAUAGAGACAGCAUGAAUUCAAAGGAAUGGAAUUAGGAGUUCAGGCCUCUAUGUCCAGCAAACAAGGCUACCACUAGCAUGAACGGGGAACAAGACUGAACUGACCCGGAGUGUGCACGCAAUCAUCUUCAACUAGACAGGCAAGCUUAUGGGGAUCGUGUUGCCACACAUUAGUCAGAAUCCAAGAAUCAGGACUCUGAUGAAAAGCCAGAUACACCUAAGUGGGCGCUCAGGUCCCAAGCACCGCCCCUUUAUCCGGAAGUAAAGGGGAAUCGUGGCCUACCUCACUGUCUUGGAUGUUCUCCUCACAGCCGGGCAGGGCCCGACACACAGCUUCCGUGCACUGAGGACACAGCCACGCCAGGUCUCGGAAAGCCUGCACCACCACUGCAGCACAGCUCAGGACACAAGAGCACAGCUCUCUAGCUGUUUGGUGUAGGCUCUCAUGAAGGAAAAGCAGCAGACACCUACCAAUGGCGAGGAUGGCGGCCUGCGCAAAGUCGGCGGACACGUCGGUGCAGUACCCCCGAAGCUCCUCCAGCACCUGCUGCAC
Long non-coding RNA from Bubalus bubalis (water buffalo), 848 nucleotides. RefSeq lists it as uncharacterized. The record is from RefSeq and is a predicted model, not a curated record. NCBI's taxonomy places the organism in Eukaryota, Metazoa, Chordata, Mammalia, Artiodactyla, Bovidae. The transcript has 6 exons.